UGAGGAAUAUUGGUCAAUGGGCGAGAGCCUGAACCAGCCACGUCGCGUGAAGGAAGACUGACCUUACGGUUUGUAAACUUCUUUUGUAGAGGGGUAAUGGCAGAUACGUGUAUUUGCGUGAAAGUACUCUACGAAUAAGCAUCGGCUAACUCCGUGCCAGCAGCCGCGGUAAUACGGGGGAUGCGAGCGUUAUCCGGAAUUAUUGGGUUUAAAGGGUGCGCAGGUGGCUAAUCAGGUCAGUGGUGAAAAGCUAUGGCUCAACCAUGGUCUUGCCAUUGAAACCGUAUAGCUAGAGAGGAGACGAGGUAGGCGGAAUGUGUGGUGUAGCGGUGAAAUGCAUAGAUAUCACACAGAACUCCGAUUGCGAAGGCGGCUUACCAGGCUUUAUCUGACACUUAGGCACGACAGCGUGGGGAUCAAACAGG
This 425-nucleotide ribosomal RNA is filed under the name Verrucomicrobiota bacterium. Its description in RNAcentral is "Verrucomicrobia bacterium partial 16S ribosomal RNA". It matches the Rfam family "Bacterial small subunit ribosomal RNA", at positions 355 to 776 of the family's 1533-position model. Lineage: Bacteria; Pseudomonadati; Verrucomicrobiota. The record is from RNAcentral.